RNAcentral lists this long non-coding RNA (2264 nucleotides) under Vigna radiata. Its description in RNAcentral is "long non-coding RNA (VRAD_LNC010886)". Lineage: Eukaryota; Viridiplantae; Streptophyta; Magnoliopsida; Fabales; Fabaceae. The record is from RNAcentral.
AUGGCCUUAGGGGGAAAAGGAAAACUCCUUUGCUCAUUUCUGAUUUCAUUCCACAGAAAACCUUUUUCUUUCUAAGUGUCAAACCCUAACUCUACUCCACCUUCUCUCUUCUUUUUUAGAAAUUUGAACCGUACAAAAUUUCAUUUAGUUCCUUCAAAUUGUUCCUGGCAUCGAGGGCUUCCGUUCGAACCCACCAUCUCACUGUUUCAUCGAGUAAGUAAAUCUUUCCCCUUUCUUAUCACUGUUUUUGACCUAAGUCGCACCAUUUUCUGAUUGCAUGAGCUCUGUGUGAUCUUGUCUUCCAUUCUUCGUUAUUUCAACUCAAAAAGCUAAAGUUUAUCACCUAAUUGGUGAUUUGUAGGUCUCUCGGUGCCCUAAUUGCUAGGAAUACUUUAGAAGCGUUGAGUGAGCUUGUUGUUGCUUGUUUCCAGGUAAGGGGAGCCAAAAUUAUAUAAAUGUGUUAUCUCUUGAAUGUUUUUGAAAUUGUUGAGAAUAUCUAUUGAAUCUGAAUUUUUAUGAAUUACUUGAUGGGUUGAUGUCUCUGCGUGAUUGGAUUUCCUGUUAUGUGUUUGUGAAUAUAUGCAGGGACUAUAUUAUGCUAUUCUGAAAAUAUAAGGUUNUGGGUGAAUGUUUGAUGUGCUUUGAAUGUCAAGUUGAAUCUGUUGAAUGAGGUAUUAUGUGUAAUUGGAAUUAAUUUGGGUUAGGUUGAUAUCUGAUAUGGUUAAGUGGUUUUAUUUACUGGAAAUUAUAUGACAUUGAUAAUUGAUGGGAAACAUGGGUUGUUAGAACUUAGGUCUGUGAGUGAAAGUGAGACACUAGUUAAGGGUGUAUGGAAACUAGACCACCGUAGAAUAAUUAGGAUACCUUAUUAAAGCUAAAUUCAGAGUGUUAGGAUGCCUUCUGUGUUGGUAGGAUAGAGGGAACCUAAAAACCAGAGCUGGCACGUCACUGAUCAUAGAGCAGCCNUGGCCUGGUCCAGUACGUUGUGACUAGUCAUACGUGUUGGUGACGAAGGUGAGUCUGCUGCGGUGGACAUUUGUUCCCACUCCNUUGACCAAUUGGGAUAAGAAGGUUGGAGAGAGUAGAACCCCUAGNCAAGGAUCUGUAACUGAAAUUGGAUUGGAUUUGAGUUGGGAAGUGGGAAGUGUCAUGGUGAUUUUGGGCAUUUGUGGUAUUGGGGGUGUUUGGGCUGGUUAGGUAACUUAGGUAAGUUAAAAGGAACCUGUGUGAGGCAUAAAAUUGAGCAAGAACACAUUAAAAAUGACCAUUCUGACUUUAGUUCCCUAUUGGUAAUAAAUUAUAAAAGAUGGUAUUGAUUAACUUAGAUUAAAUUAGGGAGUAGUUAUUUUUAUAAUUUGUGAGUGGUAAAUAAUGUGUAUUGUUGAGAUUAUGUAUAUGUUUGGAAUUGUGAAUUUUGGUUUAAAAGUAUGUGAAUUGGGAAGGAAUAAAACAUGAUUUCUAGUGUGUUGAUGGUGGUAAAUAUAGAAUCUCUCGGUGAGAUNCUUAGUGUUUUAAAAUGAAAGUAGGGGCUCAGCCUUGGGAGUCAUUCUGACGCUUCAAUGGUCAAUCAAACUCACUUAGAGAGGUUGAACCAUGUGGUGAGAAGUAGCAGGAGGUCCUUAGUCUUGNGACGCUUCAAUGGUCAAUCAAACUCACUUAGAGAGGUUGAACCAUGUGGUGAGAAGUAGCAGGAGGUCCUUAGUCUUGGGGGCUCCCAGUAUGCCUCAAGGCGCGGAACGGACUAACCUCGUGAGUGUGGCAGGGUGGGGAACCCAAGUUUCAUAAGUCACCAGCCAUAGCCCGACUCUCAUUUUAAAGUCCGGACGAGUCAAGUCUAGAAUCUCACAUGUUUAGGUUGUUUGCUAUAAAAUGUGUUUGCUAUCCAUGCACUCUCUUGUGAUCAAAUGUUUAAUAUGUUGCAUGAUGUUUAUUUAUAUAAUUAGCUCACCCUUGCCUUGUUUUGUUGUGUAUGCUGUAUUUCUUUCUUUUGCAAUGAUCAUUCAUUUUUGAAUGUGAGCAGAGGAGAAUGAGCCCACGUUGGAGGAUGUCCUGGAAGAUUCUGAAAACACAGAUGUUGCUGCCUAGACCUUUAGGGAUUUUAUUUUGCUCUUCCUAUGUUCUGUAUUUUUGAAAUACUUAGAGUUCCUUCCACGUUUUUAAAUUUCCUCUUGUUUCUGGAUUACUGUAAUCACAACCUGAUUAACUUUCCUGCUCUUAAACUGCUCUCUUUUAUUAUCUAUGUGAACAUCUUGAUUUUUAUAGUC